Molecule: long non-coding RNA, 425 nt
Organism: Syngnathus acus (greater pipefish)
Lineage: Eukaryota; Metazoa; Chordata; Actinopteri; Syngnathiformes; Syngnathidae
Exons: 4
Source: RefSeq, a predicted model, not a curated record
UUCUAUUUCAUCUUCCACCUUGUUUUGUUCUAAUGUAUGUCACAAUCUGUGUUUUCAUUGGCUUUGGUUAGCUUUACUUUUGUUUCAUGUCUAUUUUUGAUGUGUCUGUCUGUCAACUCAUUAGGUUUUUGGUUCCACCUGAUCUCGUCAGCCAUGUUCCAUGGAUCUCCCAUUCAGCUCCCUCAAGCCACUUGCAUCUUCUCCAGUGAAUAAUGGAUGGAGUCAGCGAAUAGGAAACAUUUAUGGGAGGGGAAAGUAGUCGCCUUAUUUCCGCCCACCCAAAGCAACUUGAGAGACAUCCAAACAAAUCAAAGUUUGAUACACAAUGACUCAGCACAGAGGCAACUGCUGCACUCAAGACCGACCAUCAGACAUAACAACAUCAGACACUCACCUGGGACAGACGUGCCCAGGGCCACAAACAC